Molecule: ribosomal RNA, 1579 nt
Filed under: human metagenome
Description: bacterial LSU rRNA
Rfam family: Bacterial large subunit ribosomal RNA
Source: RNAcentral
AAUCCCGCCGGCCGGAAGUCCAAGGUUUCCAGGGGAAGGUUUGUCCGCCCUGGGGAAGUCGGGACCUAAGCAUAAGCAAAAAUGUGAUGGCGAAUGGAAAACAGGUUAAUAUUCCUGUACCGCUGUUAUCGCCUGAGAGACGGAGUGACGCAGGAAGGUAUGCGGGAAGGCUGACGGAAUAGCCUUUCUAAGGGCGUAGCAUGGGCAUGCAGGAAAAUCCGCAUGCCUAAAUGUGAGACCUGACGGGUAAGUGCAUCUUGCAUAAGCCGCAGAUCCUACACUGCCGAGAAAAACUUCUAUCGAUGAGAGCCAGCGCCCGUACUGUAAACCGACACAGGUGGACAGAGUGAGAAACUUAAGGCCGACAGGAUAACUCUAGCUAAGGAACUCUGCAAAAUAGCCCCGUAACUUCGGGAGAAGGGGUGCCUGACAUACCUGAGAGGAGAAGCGCCUCAAGGGGAAACAGGCCGCAGUGAAGAGUCCCAAGCAACUGUUUACCAAAAACACAGGUCUAUGCUAAGCUGAAAGGCGACGUAUAUGGGCUGACACCUGCCCAGUGCCGGAAGGUUAAGAGGAGGAGUGAGAGCUCCGAAUUGAAGCCCCGGUGAACGGCGGCCGUAACUAUAACGGUCCUAAGGUAGCGAAAUUCCUUGUCGGGUAAGUUCCGACCUGCACGAAUGGUGAAAUGAUUUGGGAGCUGUCUUGGCUGGAGACCUGGUGAAGUUGUAAUGCCGGUGAAGAUACCGGCUACCUGCAGUAGGACGGAAAGACCCCGUGGAGCUUUACUGCAGUCUGGCAUUGGGUUUUGGCUGUGUGUGUAUAGGAUAGUUGGGAGACUGUGAAGCUGAGGCGUCAGUUUCAGCCGAGUCGCCGUUGGAAUACCAACCAUAUGCCGUUGAAAUUCUAAUCUGGUAACGGAGACAGUGCUAGAUGGGCAGUUUGACUGGGGCGGUCGCCUCCAAAAGAGUAACGGAGGCGUUCAAAGGUUCCCUCAGGCUGGAUGGAAAUCAGCCUAGGAGUGCAAACGCAUAAGGGAGCUUGACUGCAAGACUGACGGGUCGAGCAGGCACGAAAGUGGGAGUUAGUGAUCCGGCGGUUCCGUAUGGAAGGACCGUCGCUCAACGGAUAAAAGCUACCCCGGGGAUAACAGGCUGAUACUUCCCAAGAGUCCAUAUCGACGGAAGUGUUUGGCACCUCGAUGUCGGCUCGUCUCAUCCUGGGGCUGGAGAAGGUCCCAAGGGUUGGGCUGUUCGCCCAUUAAAGAGGCACGCGAGCUGGGUUCAGAACGUCGUGAGACAGUUCGGUCCCUAUCCACUGCAGGCGCCUGAAUACUGAAAAGAUCUGACCUUAGUACGAGAGGACCGGGUUGGACAGACCUCUGAUGUACCAGUUGUCACGCCAGUGGCACGGCUGGGUAGUCACGUCUGGGACGGAUAACCGCUGAAAGCAUCUAAGCGGGAAGCCGGCUUUGAGAUGAGUGUUCGCAGUAUCCAUGGAGAACACAUGGUUGAUAGGCCAGGGGUGCAAGCGCAGCAAUGCGUUCAGCUGACUGGUACUAAUAUUACAUCUGCUUUUUAGU